UUUGUUUUUAUAAAAUUUAUUGCUAAUUGGUGUAGUUCUUUUGUUUAAUAUGCACUUAAAAUAUGAUAUUUUCAAGAUCUUUAUAUUAUUAUUUAUAGAGAUUUUUUUCUCAUUAAAUUUGUAUUACUGUCGCUCAAUUCCUAAUGAACUAAAGUUUGAUUGUAUACCCAAAGGAAAGUCUGAUGAAAUAAUCUGCAAACAAAUUAACUGUUCCUGGACACCAGUUGAGCAAUCUUUUACUGAAUGGCCAUGGUGUUACUAUCCAGAAUGUUACAAUAAUUAUAAUACAAUUAAUAUAUCGAAGACAAGUACUGGAAUAGUAGCAUUUUAUAAUUUAUCAGUGAAUUCUAAUUACAAAAAAAAUAUCCAAAUUUUGCGACUGGAUGUUAUUUUUGAAACAUCACAAAGAUUACGAAUUACGAUUGAUGAUGCAAUUCAAAUACGUUAUAAACCACCCUUUCCAAAAAUUAACGAGUUUAAAGGAAAACCAAUUCAAAAAAAUGAUACUUUUAUAAUAUCUGAUUUUAUUGUACGACUUUCGAAGAAUGGAGUUGGAUUUGCAAUUAUUCGUAAGGUGGAUGAUACAGUUCUGUUUGAUAGUCGAAAUAUUGGAGGUUUUAUAUUUUCUGAUCAAUUUAUUCAAUUGUCAGCUUUACUACCCUCGAAGUAUAUUUAUGGACUGGGAGAGCAUAGAACUAAUUUAGUCUUAAAUUCAAAUUGGAAAACAUAUACACUGUUUAAUCAUGACAGUACUCCAAAACCUGACAUAAACGGCUAUGGCUCACAUCCGUUUUAUUUAUUAAUGGAAAAAUCUGGGAAGAGUCAUGGAGUAUUUUUAUUUAAUAGCAAUGCUAUGGAUAUUAUAUUACAGCCUGCGCCUGCAAUUACAUAUCGUGUUAUUGGUGGAAUCUUAGAUUUUUAUUUUUUUUCUGGACCAACACCUUCAGAUGUUAUUACUCAGUAUACUGAAAUUAUCGGCAGACCAUUUUUACCACCUUAUUGGUCUUUAGGUUUUCAUAUGAGCCGAUUUGGGCAGACUUUUGAAGAUCUUGUUCAAGUUUAUAAUAGGACUAUAGAAGCUGGUAUUCCUUGGGAUACUCACUGGAAUGACAUUGAUUAUAUGAAUAAUAAAGAUGACUUCACACUUUCCAACAAUUUUAAGCAACUACCAGAAUAUGUGAAUAAUUUACAUAAGAACGGAAUGCACCAUAUAGUUAUUUUAGAUCCAGGUAUCAAAUCACGACAAUCAAAUGGAACAAUUUAUGUUCCUUUAAAAGAUGGUCUUAAUGACAAUAUUUUUAUAAAAAACUCUGCUGGUCAACCAUUAGAAGGAAAAGUUUGGAAUAACAUUGGAACAGUAUUUCCUGAUUUUACACAUCCAAAAGCAACCCAAUACUGGAAAAACCAGAUUUUAAAUUUUUAUAAUAUUGUAAAAUUUGAUGGGUUAUGGUUGGAUAUGAAUGAACCAGCUAAUUUUGUCAAUGGUGAUUUUAAUGGGUGUUCAUCUUUUAAAUCUGAUCACUGGGAAUUACCUCAAUAUAUUCCCGGUAUAGUCGGUGGUCAAUUGAACUACAAAACUAUUUGCAUGUCUGCAAGUCAUUUCGCUGGUAUUCAUUAUGAUUUGCAUAAUUUAUAUGGACUUGUUGAAACUAUAUCCACUUACGAUGCAUUGUCAGAAGUAAAAAAUACUAGACCUUUUAUAAUUUCUCGAUCUUCUUUUCCUGGUUUUGGACAUUAUGCUGGUCACUGGACUGGAGACAUAAACUCUUCAUGGGAUGAUAUGAAACAGUCCAUAACAGAUAUAAUAAAUUUUAAUUUAUUUGGCAUUCCCCUAGUCGGUGCAGAUAUAUGUGGUUUUCAUCACGAUACUACUGUUGAGUUGUGCUCAAGGUGGAUUCAAUUGGGAGCAUUCUAUCCAUUUUCUAGGAAUCAUAACGGCCAAUACAUGAAAGACCAAGAUCCAGUAGCUUUAGGAUCAAAUGUUAUAGUAUCUGCAAAAAAUUCAUUGAUAACUAGGUAUUAUCUAUUGCCAUAUUUGUAUUCACUGUUUUGGAAAGCUCAUGUUUAUGGAGAAACUGUUGUUCGACCUUUGUUUUUUGAGUAUCCAUCUGAUGAAAAUACAUAUGCCAUAGACACACAGUUUCUAUGGGGUGCAGCCUUACUGAUCUUGCCAGUCUUAAAAGAAAAAAAUCAUCAAGUGUAUGUAUAUCUUCCUAAAGAUAUAUGGUAUGAUUUUUACAAUAAUACUGCGAUAUUAAGCAAAGGAAGUUAUUUUUUCAUAACAGCUCCAACCCACACAAUACCUUUACUGGUGCGAGGGGGUUAUAUUUUACCAACACAAAUGCCCGCCUUAACUACAACAUUAAGUCGUCAAAAUCACUUUGAACUUUUAGUAGCUCCUAAACACAACCAAGCAACUGGUUUUUUAUUUUUUGACGAUGGAGAGUCUUUAGAUGCCUGGAAAAAUAAAUCAUUCAACAAAGUUCAAUUUAAACUUGAUAAAACUAAAUUUUCUAGUAUAGUAGAGAUGAAUGGUUAUAUUGAUGACAACUUUGUGUUACAAAAUAUUACUGUACUUGGAAUCAAAGAAGGACCAACCAAUUCACAAGUUAAUGGAAUUCCAUUCAAUAGUUAUUACUUCAAUAAAACCAAACAAGUUUUAUACUUCAAAAUGUUAAACUUAGAUCUAAGGAUGCCAUUCAAUUUAACAUGGUAAAUUAUGAACAUCAAUAAUGAACAAAUUUCCAUCUACAAAGUACUAAAUUAUGUAAAAUAAAUGUUGAAUAAUAACCACAAAUGAACCAGUUAUAAAAAUUAGAAACUAUAGACCAGUAACAUUGAUGGAUUUACCCUUCUGAUGCCUCGAAUUAAAUAGUAUACAAAAGAGAUGGUUUUAAAUUUAUUUGAUUUUUGUAAAUACAUGUAAUUUUCUACCCAUAAAAUAUAAAUGCAAUUGAUUAAAUUACAAUUUUUUUU
RNAcentral lists this unclassified non-coding RNA (2976 nucleotides) under Rhopalosiphum maidis (corn leaf aphid). Its description in RNAcentral is "lysosomal alpha-glucosidase-like, transcript variant X4". Lineage: Eukaryota; Metazoa; Arthropoda; Insecta; Hemiptera; Aphididae. The record is from RNAcentral.